CUUUGAUCCUGGCUCAGGAUGAACGCUAGCUACAGGCUUAACACAUGCAAGUCGAGGGGAAACGAUAGAGAAAGCUUGCUUUUUCUAGGCGUCGACCGGCGCACGGGUGAGUAACGCGUAUCCAACCUGCCCAUCACUUGGGGAUAACCUUGCGAAAGUAAGACUAAUACCCAAUGAUAUCUCAAGAAGACAUCUGAAUGAGAUUAAAGAUUUAUCGGUGAUGGAUGGGGAUGCGUCUGAUUAGCUUGUUGGCGGGGUAACGGCCCACCAAGGCGACGAUCAGUAGGGGUUCUGAGAGGAAGGUCCCCCACAUUGGAACUGAGACACGGUCCAAACUCCUACGGGAGGCAGCAGUGAGGAAUAUUGGUCAAUGGGCGAGAGCCUGAACCAGCCAAGUAGCGUGCAGGAAGACGGCCCUAUGGGUUGUAAACUGCUUUUAUAAGGGAAUAAAGUGAGUCUCGUGAGACUUUUUGCAUGUACCUUAUGAAUAAGGACCGGCUAAUUCCGUGCCAGCAGCCGCGGUAAUACGGAAGGUCCGGGCGUUAUCCGGAUUUAUUGGGUUUAAAGGGAGCGUAGGCCGGAGAUUAAGCGUGUUGUGAAAUGUAGAUGCUCAACAUCUGCACUGCAGCGCGAACUGGUUUCCUUGAGUACGCACAAAGUGGGCGGAAUUCGUGGUGUAGCGGUGAAAUGCUUAGAUAUCACGAAGAACUCCGAUUGCGAAGGCAGCUCACUGGAGCGCAACUGACGCUGAAGCUCGAAAGUGCGGGUAUCGAACAGGAUUAGAUACCCUGGUAGUCCGCACGGUAAACGAUGGAUGCCCGCUGUUGGUCUGAAUAGGUCAGCGGCCAAGCGAAAGCAUUAAGCAUCCCACCUGGGGAGUACGCCGGCAACGGUGCAACUCAAAGGAAUUGACGG
This 915-nucleotide ribosomal RNA is filed under the name uncultured Bacteroidota bacterium. Its description in RNAcentral is "bacterial SSU rRNA". It matches the Rfam family "Bacterial small subunit ribosomal RNA", at positions 11 to 916 of the family's 1533-position model. The record is from RNAcentral. Lineage: Bacteria; Pseudomonadati; Bacteroidota.